This is a long non-coding RNA of Thalassophryne amazonica, 113 nucleotides long. RefSeq lists it as uncharacterized. Lineage: Eukaryota; Metazoa; Chordata; Actinopteri; Batrachoidiformes; Batrachoididae. The transcript is spliced from 3 exons. The record is from RefSeq and is a predicted model, not a curated record.
GGACCCCUCUAAAAAUCAGUCCACCCUGCGUUCACUGCGCGUGCGUCAUUAGCUGCAGUUCACGGAGUAACACCUCGCUUCUGCUUCAAACUGCCUCCAGUUAUCAUCUAUCU